AGAAGAAAAUGGCAGUUGAGACACCAUGAUCACUCAGGUGGUUUUCCCAGAGUGAGGCUCAACCACUGCACUCUGGAUGAGCCAACCCCCGCAGUUUCCACAGGAAACCUGACAGCACAAUUUGUGAAUAAAUC
This 134-nucleotide small nuclear RNA is filed under the name Anolis carolinensis (green anole). RNAcentral's name for it is "U1 spliceosomal RNA (ENSACAG00000020755.1)". It matches the Rfam family "U1 spliceosomal RNA". Rfam says of the family: U1 is a small nuclear RNA (snRNA) component of the spliceosome (involved in pre-mRNA splicing). Its 5' end forms complementary base pairs with the 5' splice junction, thus defining the 5' donor site of an intron. The record is from RNAcentral. Lineage: Eukaryota; Metazoa; Chordata; Lepidosauria; Squamata; Anolidae.